Molecule: unclassified non-coding RNA, 25 nt
Filed under: Mus musculus (house mouse)
Lineage: Eukaryota; Metazoa; Chordata; Mammalia; Rodentia; Muridae
Description: oocyte_clustered_small_RNA203
Source: RNAcentral
UAAGACUGGAGCUAUUUAUUUGUGC